RNAcentral lists this ribosomal RNA (501 nucleotides) under Fusarium avenaceum. RNAcentral describes it as "eukaryotic LSU rRNA". The stretch from base 133 to 286 matches the Rfam family "5.8S ribosomal RNA". The record is from RNAcentral. RNAcentral also lists the same sequence under 1 other name. Lineage: Eukaryota; Fungi; Ascomycota; Sordariomycetes; Hypocreales; Nectriaceae.
AACCCCUGUGACAUACCUUAAUGUUGCCUCGGCGGAUCAGCCCGCGCCCCGUAAAACGGGACGGCCCGCCAGAGGACCCAAACUCUAAUGUUUCUUAUUGUAACUUCUGAGUAAAACAAACAAAUAAAUCAAAACUUUCAACAACGGAUCUCUUGGUUCUGGCAUCGAUGAAGAACGCAGCAAAAUGCGAUAAGUAAUGUGAAUUGCAGAAUUCAGUGAAUCAUCGAAUCUUUGAACGCACAUUGCGCCCGCUGGUAUUCCGGCGGGCAUGCCUGUUCGAGCGUCAUUUCAACCCUCAAGCCCCCGGGUUUGGUGUUGGGGAUCGGCUCUGCCCUUCUGGGCGGUGCCGCCCCCGAAAUACAUUGGCGGUCUCGCUGCAGCCUCCAUUGCGUAGUAGCUAACACCUCGCAACUGGAACGCGGCGCGGCCAUGCCGUAAAACCCCAACUUCUGAAUGUUGACCUCGGAUCAGGUAGGAAUACCCGCUGAACUUAAGCAUAUC